CUCUGGUUAGCUUAGUUGGUAAAGCGCUCUACUGGAAAUCGAGAGCUUCCGAGUUCGAUACCCGAACCAGGAG
This 73-nucleotide transfer RNA is filed under the name Ixodes scapularis (black-legged tick). It matches the Rfam family "tRNA". Rfam says of the family: Transfer RNA (tRNA) molecules are approximately 80 nucleotides in length. Their secondary structure includes four short double-helical elements and three loops (D, anti-codon, and T loops). The record is from Rfam by way of RNAcentral. Lineage: Eukaryota; Metazoa; Arthropoda; Arachnida; Ixodida; Ixodidae.